This 276-nucleotide ribosomal RNA is filed under the name uncultured bacterium. RNAcentral's name for it is "partial 16S ribosomal RNA". It matches the Rfam family "Bacterial small subunit ribosomal RNA", at positions 32 to 319 of the family's 1533-position model. The record is from RNAcentral.
AUCAACGCUGGCGGCGUGCCUAACACAUGCAAGUCGCACGAGAAAGUGGAGCAAUCCAUGAGUACAGUGGCGCACGGGUGAGUAACACGUGAAUCAUCUACCUCCGAGUGGGGAAUAACCUAGAGAAAUCUGGGCUAAUACCGCAUAACACUUACGAGUCAAAGCAGCAAUGCGCUUGGAGAGGAGUUCGCGGCCGAUUAGCUAGUUGGCGGGGUAAUGGCCCACCAAGGCGAUGAUCGGUAUCCGGCCUGAGAGGGCGCACGGACACACUGGAAC